UGUCCAGGGGGCGCCCACACAUCUGGGGAGGGGUCCCAGGUGUCCAGGGGGGACCCAGGUGUCCGGGGGGCACCCACACAUCUGGGGAGGGGUCCCAGGUGUCCGGGGGGGGACCCAGGUGUCCAGGGAGGGGUCCCAGGUGUCCAGGGGGCACCCACACAUCUGGGGAGGGGUCCCAGGUGUCCGGGGGGGGACCCAGGUGUCCAGGGAGGGGUCCCAGGUGUCCAGGGGGCACCCACACAUCUGGGGAGGGGUCCCAGGUGUCCAGGGAGGGGUCCCAGGUGUCCAGGGGGGGCACCCAGGUGUCCAGGGGGGGGACCCAGGUGUCCGGGGGGGGGACCCAGGUGUCCGGGGGGGGACGCAGGCCUCUGGGCCACCUACCCUUGGCCGCCGGCGUCAAGAAGCUCUGGGUGGGCUCCAGGAAGAGGUCGAGAUCUUCUGUGGGGUGGGAAGGACCUUGAGAAAGGACCCGGGUGUCCACGCGGGGGGGGACCCAGGUGACCAGGGCGCCCCCACUUACCCUCGGUGUCCCUGUCACUCCCGGAGGCCAAAUUUGGGUCCACGUGUGGGGAUUUGGGGGUGGAAACAUCUGGCGGCACAGCUGGAUCCCUGCCCCUCGCUGAGGGCUCCCCGCUGCAUUGCUGGCACCCAACAUCUGGAUUCGGGGCCUCCACAUCUGGAUUUGGGGCUAAAUCGCAGCGGUUUGGGACCAUUCCUUCCACACUCGUGUCACCCUCAGUUUUUAAGAGAAAGCCCUGCCUUUUUCGGGACAAUUUCCAGUGUUUUGGGUCCAUCUUCUCCACGGCAGCGUCACUGCCUGUUUCAACAUCUGGAUGGGGAUGAUUUUGGAAGCGGAGGUGGCUCCGCAGGCUCCGAACAUCUGGAGUGGGGGCCACCUCCUCCACGUCGGUGUCGCUGCUGCUCCGGGGGCUUGUGGGAGAGGGAACAUCUGGAUUUGGGGGUGUCAUCGCCACAUCUGGCUCACCAGAUGCCCUUUGACAUCUUUGCACUGUCCCAACAUCUGGAAGGACAACAUUGUCCUCAACAUCUCUAUCGCUGUCCACACCCAGGACCAGGCACUGGGCUUUGGGAGCUCCAACAUCUGGAGCUGGGAACGUCACCUUCACAUCUGGAUCAUCCUUGGUCCGCAUCGGCCCCUUGGGAUCAACAUCUGGAGCAGUGGCCACCUGAGCAACUGUAUCCAUGCCCUCAUGGCCUGUCCCACAUGGGUUUGGAGGUCCAACGUUGGGAAGGGCAUUGAGGUCCUCCACACCUGUAUCGCUGUCACCAUUGGAGGCCACCGAGCCAUGGCUGAGGCCACCAACAUCUGGAUUCGGAGUCUCCAUCACCACAGUUGGGUCCUUCCGGGUGUUUUGGGGUGUUUUGUGGCUUUUUGGGCGAAGAACAAAAAGGUCUUCUUCCUCCACAUCUGUGUCACUGUCCACUUCCAGGUCCUGACGCUCAUUUGGGGCAUUUUCAACAUCUGAUUUUGGGUUCUGCGUCUCCACAUCUGGAUCUCUGCAUUUGGGGGGGGCAAUUCUAUGGGUUUUUUUACGCCCAACAUCUGGAUUCCCCUCAUUCUCCUCCACGUCUGUAUCGCUGUCCACCACAAGGGUCCAUUGUUUGUUUUGGGGUGGAUCUGGCCUCUCCGUCUCCACGUCUGGGUUUCUGGGUACAUUUUGGGUUGCUCCACGGGUUUUUUUACUCCCAACAUCUGGAUUGGAAAUGUCCUCUUCCACAUCUGUAUCACUCUCCACGAGGAGACUCCAGCGUCCUUCAACAUUGCGAACUGUGGUCUCUGUCUUCACAUCUGGGCCUCUGGGGGCUCUUCUGGGGCUUUCUGAACACCCAACAUCUGGACUGGCAGUGUCCUCCUCCACAUCUGUAUCACUGUCCACCACAAGCAUCUGGUGGCCCUUUUGUGAGUCUUCAACAUCUACACGUUGCGUCUCCACCUCAAUAAUGUUUUGGGUCGUUUGAUGGGGUUUAGGGUGUCCAACAUCUGGAUUGUCUUCAUUCUCCUCCACAUCUGUGUCACUGUCCACCAGGAGCAUCUGAUGCCCAUUUUGUGAACCUUCAACAUCUGCACUGUGGGUCCCCAUCUCGCUAUUCCAGUUUUUAGACAUAUUUUGGGUCUUUUGAUGGGUUUGGGGGCACCCAACAUCUGGACUGGCUCCAUUCUCUUCCACAUCUGUAUCACUGUCCACCACGAGCAUCUGGUGUCUGUUUCUGGGCCCUUCAACAGCUGCGUUUGAGCUCUCCAUCUCCACAUCUGUAUCACUGUCCACAACUGUCCGGCAUCCAUUUUUGGGACCUCCAACAUCUGGAUGGGAGGUCUCCAUCUCCAAGCCUGUUUUUUGGGCCACGUAUGGGUCCUUUCUACAUAUUUUUGGGCACACAGUGUCUGGAAGGACCUCAACCUCCUCCACAUCUGUGUCGCUGUCCACCACAAUCAUCCGACAUCGAUUUUUGGUACCUCCAACAUCU
Molecule: long non-coding RNA, 2487 nt
Filed under: Calidris pugnax (ruff)
Lineage: Eukaryota; Metazoa; Chordata; Aves; Charadriiformes; Scolopacidae
Description: lncRNA (ENSCPUG00000010747.1)
Source: RNAcentral